RNAcentral lists this transfer RNA (73 nucleotides) under Listeria grandensis. RNAcentral describes it as "tRNA-OTHER". It matches the Rfam family "tRNA". From Rfam's summary of the family: Transfer RNA (tRNA) molecules are approximately 80 nucleotides in length. Their secondary structure includes four short double-helical elements and three loops (D, anti-codon, and T loops). The record is from RNAcentral. Lineage: Bacteria; Bacillati; Bacillota; Bacilli; Caryophanales; Listeriaceae.
CGCCCUAUAGCUGCAGUGGUCAGAGCGCACGUUGGAAAACGUGAGGUCGCGGGUUCGAAUCCCGUUAGGGCAA